Molecule: ribosomal RNA, 253 nt
Filed under: uncultured bacterium
Lineage: Bacteria
Description: partial 16S ribosomal RNA
Rfam family: Bacterial small subunit ribosomal RNA
Source: RNAcentral
UACGAAGGGGACUAGCGUUGUUCGGAAUCACUGGGCGUAAAGCGCACGUAGGCGGAUUUUUAAGUCAGGGGUGAAAUCCCAAGGCUCAACCUUGGAACUGCCUUUGAUACUGGAAGUCUUGAGAUCGGGAGAGGUGAGUGGAAUUCCUAGUGUAGAGGUGAAAUUCGUAGAUAUUAGGAAGAACACCAGUGGCGAAGGCGGCUCACUGGAUCGGUACUGACGCUGAGGUGCGAAAGCGUGGGGAGCAAACAGU